Molecule: ribosomal RNA, 243 nt
Filed under: uncultured bacterium
Lineage: Bacteria
Description: partial 16S ribosomal RNA
Rfam family: Bacterial small subunit ribosomal RNA
Source: RNAcentral
CGGCGCACGGGUGCGUAACGCGUAUGCAACCUACCUAUUGCAGGGGAAUAGCCCAGGGAAACUUGGAUUAAUGCCCCAUAGUCCAUAUUGAGAGCAUUUGAUAUAUGGUAAAGAUUUAUCGGCAAUAGAUGGGCAUGCGUCCCAUUAGCUAGUUGGUGUGGUAACGGCACACCAAGGCUACGAUGGGUAGGGGCCCUGAGAGGGGGAUCCCCCACACUGGUACUGAGACACGGACCAGACUCC